CCGCCGCCGCAGCGACCUCGCGCCGUCGCCUGCCCGCCUUCCCCAAUCGAUGGUGCUCCUCGCCCCUCCCCUAUCCAUCUCUCCCCUGCGCCACUUCCUCCACGUUUGGACCGGGUAGAAGGAGCUCGUCGGCCGUCGGUGUAGCGCGAGAUCUGCGCAAAUGGAGAUUCACGGGCGCCGAUGCGGUUUCCACUCUGCCCCCCGGUCACCGUCGCCCUCCCAGCAAGCAAAGAAAAGGGGCAGCGCUGGAGAGGAGACAUAGACGGGGGAGCGGAUUGGUUGUGGUCUUGGGUGGUGAGGGGUGGAAGUUGAAGUGCCUCACCUUGUUGAGCAGAUAGGGCAAGUGCGACCGCUUCCUCGACCUCGAUGUCAGAUUGGAAGCGACAUAGAGAUAGUUGUUCUCAAGGUUUUCCAUGCUACCCAGUGGUACAAAUUUGGGAUGAAUAUGGCUUGCUUACUAAAAAUAAGAGAUCUAAAUAAGUUUUGCUGAUUAUUUCUGGUUGGUUAUGAUCUCUGUUAGAAGUAUUAAUCUUCUU
Long non-coding RNA from Lolium rigidum, 536 nucleotides. RefSeq lists it as uncharacterized. The record is from RefSeq and is a predicted model, not a curated record. The transcript is spliced from 3 exons. NCBI's taxonomy places the organism in Eukaryota, Viridiplantae, Streptophyta, Magnoliopsida, Poales, Poaceae.